AUUCCAUGCCCAAUGUGGAGCCCAAUAUGGGGUUUGAAUUCAUGACCCUGAGAGCAAGGCCUGAGCUGAGAUCAAGAGUCAGACACUUAACCGGCUGAGCCACCAAGGUGCCCCUUGAAGGAUAAGGAUUUUAAAAGUUAUUUAGGUGAUUUUAUGUUCAACCACGCCUGGAAACCCACACCUUGACCUACAGCUGUAGGUUCUCCAAGUGUGGUCCCUGGACCAACAGCAUCAAAAUCAGCAACUCCUGGGAACCUGGUAGACACACAAAUACUCAGGCCCUUGGAAAACCUACUGAAACAGAACCCUUAAAGGUGGAGCCCGCUGGUUUUAACUAGAAGCCAGGAAGGAAUUUGGCCAAGAGAAAUGCCAUCCUCCUAAGGAUGCUUGGCAUUAUGUUUACUCCUGCACAUUGCUUCUGUAUAUCAGGAAAGUCAAGAGGAGUGAAGAAAGGGCCAACCAUCACCUAAAAUCUUGGGACCUCGGAGACAUUCCAAGACCUGUGGAUUUUGUAGGGUUAUAUCAAACCACAAAAAUCCAAACCAAGAGCAUUUGCCAUUAAGAUGUCUUUUAAAUUAUGCUAAUAGAAUAGAUUCCUUUAUGUUGAUUUAUCUGAAGUUAUCUUGGGGUUUUUAGGAACAUAGUUUAUAAAUAUGAGGCAUUCUAUGUAAAGAAAGGGCAUAGUCUAAACUGAUUUUUCAACAUUUUCAUCCAAUCCCCUACAGAUUAACUUUCUUUUGUCUACAAUUCUAGGAGCAAAUACGAAUGCAAUAACUAAAAACUGCAUUUAGUAGAUACAGAAAGGUUACAUAAUAAAACCAGAAAUAGUAUCAUUGAGUUUGUUCUUACAUUAUUAUUCACCUUCCAAAGGUUUCUUAACUCCUUUACAGGCUUCAAAUACCACUUAAUCAAUUCUGGCUGCAACUCAGUUCACAUAUUCAAUUGACUUACGUGGUGUUGCAUUUCUAAAACAUAUAUUAUAAAUGUUUUCAACUAGACUCCACAUUUUCAUUCCACAAUGUCAAGAGAGGGAAGGCCAAAAAGGAUGGACUGCGGUUUGCACAUGAAAGUACUGGACCAUUUCUCCAAUCUCACUUUUUCUAUAAAAGGCUUUCAAAUGAAUCAUUCAUUCAUUCCUUCAUUCUUUCAUUAUGUAGAGAGAGUCUGCCAUGUACCAGGAACACGUCAAUAUUUUACUCUCUCUUGCACUCUCUUACAAAUUUUUCUCUGUAAAAAUUCAUAAAAUAUUUUUGACUGAAGAUUUGAGAUAGCAGGUAAUGUGAGAUAUAUUAAUAAUAGACCUCAUUUGGGGCAUCUGGGUGGCUCAG
Molecule: long non-coding RNA, 1328 nt
Organism: Canis lupus familiaris (dog)
Lineage: Eukaryota; Metazoa; Chordata; Mammalia; Carnivora; Canidae
Exons: 3
Source: RefSeq, a predicted model, not a curated record